Molecule: long non-coding RNA, 1069 nt
Organism: Vicia villosa (hairy vetch)
Lineage: Eukaryota; Viridiplantae; Streptophyta; Magnoliopsida; Fabales; Fabaceae
Exons: 5
Source: RefSeq, a predicted model, not a curated record
UUUCUUCUACUUCCUUUAUGUCUUCACGUGCACCACUUUCUUCUUCUUCCUUUUUUUCCUCGAGAAGACAAACUUUGCAUCCAUACUUUCCCAUCAUAUCACUACUUAUCACACCUACUCUACUUCAUCUUCCCCUCUCUCUUCAAACUUCUAUUCUCCCACAAACUUCUAUUAUCCUCCCACAAACUUCUCUGUCUCUCCACUGAAAAAACAAACCCCGUUUCAUUUUGAUUUUGAUUUUGAUUUGGUGUUUGUUGUUUCAGGUUUGGUGGUGUUGACUCACGCGAAAGGGAUAAGCUUCGCUGACGGUGCGGUUAUCUGAACAGAUUUAGGUGUAACAGAUCUGAUUCUUUAUCUUGGACUCUCUACUCAGAUCUACGAAAUUAUGGCGGUGGCUAUGGCGUUUCCGGCGGUAGGCGGUUUGACAGUGGUAAACUAUAGUAGCGGCAACACGUGUUCAAGAUUUAACACAAGCUGUUGAAGAUUCUCAAAGAAAAGCUGAUCAAUUGCGGGAAAAAUUGCACGAGAAGCAAAAACAAGUAGACGAGGAGCUCCAAGAAUUAGAAUACUCAAAAGAAUCUUUAACAACUUUGGAGCAGAGUCUUGCAGAAGUUACGAAUGACCGUGAUAGGCUUUUAUCACUAUGCGAUGAAAAAGAUAAUGAACUUCAGGAUAAAAUUCUAGAGAAAAGGAGUUUGGAAGCAAAGAUGGCCAACUUAAAUAGUUUGAAGAUAGAUGGAAUUACUAAUAAGGAUCAUAUUGAAGCAAAUGACUCGAUAUGGAAUUUGGUUGGUUCCUAGCAGGCAUUGAGAAAGCUUGAAGGUGACUUGAAACGUUGUAGAGACGAGUGUAUGGAAGCUGAAGAGAAAAUCAAAAGCUUGACAAAUGAGAAGUUGAUUUUGACACAUAAGCUAGCUGAGCUUGAGGAAAAAGAAUGCUAAAGAGGUAAAACUGAGAGUUGUAUAUUAAUAUUUAAAGCCACAACACUUAAUUUUAGUACUUGGGAAUUACCAAAUGGACAAAAUGCAGAAGUAUUUUGUGCAAUGUUAGUGAAGUUCACGUUCACAAA